UCCGUAGCCGGUUUAGUAAGUUCCUGGUAAAAUCGGGUAGCUUAACUAUCUGUGUGCUAGGAAUACUGCUAAUACUAGAGGGCGGGAGAGGUCUGAGGUACUGCAGGGGUAGGGGUGAAAUCUUAUAAUCCUUGUAGGACCACCAGUGGCGAAGGCGUCAGACUGGAACGCGCCUGACGGUGAGGGACGAAAGCGUGGGGAGCGAACAGGAUUAGAUACCCUGGUAGUCC
RNAcentral lists this ribosomal RNA (230 nucleotides) under uncultured bacterium. RNAcentral describes it as "partial 16S ribosomal RNA". It matches the Rfam family "Archaeal small subunit ribosomal RNA", at positions 518 to 747 of the family's 1478-position model. The record is from RNAcentral.